GAAAAAUAAUUAAAGAAUAAAAAAAACGAAAAUAAGAAGCUAGAGGUUGAAGAAGAUGCUGACAUGGCAUGGAAAAGUCAAACCAAACGCGUUUUUAUAAUAUAUACAAUUCCUUGUGUUAUAAUGAACAGAUGUAUAGCCACCCCGGUGGUACAAGCGCGUGCCCUAAGUCACUUAUAACCAAAAGGUUUGGGGUUUGAAUCCCCCUCCCCCCAGACU
RNAcentral lists this long non-coding RNA (219 nucleotides) under Lathyrus oleraceus (garden pea). RNAcentral's name for it is "Pisum sativum (pea) long non-coding RNA (PSAT_LNC001815)". The record is from RNAcentral. Lineage: Eukaryota; Viridiplantae; Streptophyta; Magnoliopsida; Fabales; Fabaceae.